RNAcentral lists this microRNA (23 nucleotides) under Parasteatoda tepidariorum (common house spider). RNAcentral describes it as "pte-miR-2a-3p". Its record names the gene pte-miR-2a-3p. Lineage: Eukaryota; Metazoa; Arthropoda; Arachnida; Araneae; Theridiidae. The record is from miRBase by way of RNAcentral.
UAUCACAGCUGCUUUGAUGAGUG